RNAcentral lists this small RNA (263 nucleotides) under Mus pahari (shrew mouse). RNAcentral's name for it is "sRNA (MGP_PahariEiJ_G0008279.1)". The record is from RNAcentral. Lineage: Eukaryota; Metazoa; Chordata; Mammalia; Rodentia; Muridae.
AGAGCUGAUGAACAGAUCUAGUUGCCUGGUGGAUGUCUCCUCCUAUCUCAGCUGCCCUCUCCUACCUCAGAGCUCCAUGAACAUCUUUCCUGAAGCUUCACAUUUGGUUGGUCAAAGAGGACAAACCUUCACAAAUAGUAUAGGACUAUUGUCAAUGAAACGAAAGGUUUAUAAGGUUUAUGAGUAAGCCGUGCUCCCCUGCUAGACUUCCUAAACAAGGUCAAUUUGUGUUUUGUAAUACUGUUAGAUCAAUAAGAAUUAAG